AAGAUAAACUUGUGAAAUUGAGUGAAAUGAGGUUCUGCCUAAUGCUGCCUGCUCUGAGGAUGGAGAAACAGAGUCCCGGAUUAGGAAAUGCAAAGACCACAUCUACAGACCACAAAGGUUUCACCUGCUCCAUGUGGACCUGACUGAAAGGUGACAAGAGCUUCCAUGAGGAAUCAAGAGCUCAAAGCCAGCUACACUUGGAAAGGGGGCCUUUCAAGGGAAAUCCCAAAGUUUCCCCAGAUGCCUCUGAAUGAGUUUUUUACCUACCAACUUUUAUCUUGCCUGGAAGACAUCUGAGUUCUGGCGCUGUUGAUUUCACACAGUCUUUUAAAGAUAAACUUGCUGUGCACCAGGAGCAGUGGUUCAAUAAGCACUCACCUCCACCAGCUCUGCUCUCGGUACUUUGCUAGGGCAGCAGCUGGGGGAGCCCCAGCUGACCCCUGUCAAGUGGCCUUUCUUCUUCCUUCUAUGAAAGUGAGUGCUCUUACAACAGGCGUCAUCCGCACAGUUCUUCCUCAGGUUUGACAAAUGUGGUCCUCCACCAAGGAACAACAGUAAAACUUUGCUUCAACUAUAUGGGGGGGGGGUGUGACAAAAUUUCCUUCACAGAUUGUUAGUCAGUGUUGUGUCAGGACUAUUUAUUUUGCAUCUUAGGGAAUUAAAUAAGAAAAUAAAGCUUAAUUCCUAGUAUGAUUAUUUGACUCUUAGAUUAAUAAAAAAAGGAGAGAACCAAACAAAACCAUUUAACUUUGAAAUAUAGUGUUCACAAAGAACAAAGGGCUAACUAUGCAUCCCAACCUCAAGCAUUUUCAAGGAGAACUCUGCUACCUUCCUGCAUUAAAACAAAAUAAAACAAAAAAAGUAAAACAAAGUCUGUUGUCUUGAGAUAAAAGGGCCAUAAACCCCCACGACUUACUCCCUGCUUCAGGCUAAUGACAAAAAUAUUUUUCAUUUUUAGUUCCUAAACUUUUCUUUGAACAGAAAAUGUUUUGAACUAGAUUUUGAGAGGCAAACUCCGUGUUUUUUCAAAAGACAGAGGAGUGAAGAGAAUUAAACAAAACACAAACAAACAAACAUCCAAGUACACAUAAAAUACAUCAACUCCAAAUGCUGAGAGUCUCUCUAGUGUGCUCAGCAACUUCAUGUCUCAGAUUGACACGAUGACAAAGCCUUGAUAAAGCCACCUUAGCCUGCUGCCCUCAAGACCGACUAACAUUGUCUCCUUUGAGUAGUCACAUCACUGAACUGCUACUGGUUUCUGGACUGCAAAUAAAUGAUUUAUUCAUCACAGUGUGA
Molecule: non-coding RNA, 1296 nt
Organism: Cricetulus griseus (Chinese hamster)
Lineage: Eukaryota; Metazoa; Chordata; Mammalia; Rodentia; Cricetidae
Source: RefSeq, a predicted model, not a curated record